GAUCUGAACUCUACCUCAAUUUACUGCCAUUUUCCCAUUCUGGAAGCAUCUUUCUGCACCGACAUCAACUCCUGCAGACUAUAAAUUGAAAUCAGCAGAGGUAAGCAGAGGCGAAACAGCCCUGAAACGUGAGAAACAUCCGAGAGGGUUUUCAGACCACAGUAAAGUUUAGUUGAUUAACCGAUCAGUAAGAAGAAAAAGGCCUAGGUUUUUGAAGUGUAUUGUGGUCACUAAGUUUGCUGCAGCAAGGCAGUUGGAAUUCCUCAAAGGCAGGAGUUAUUCUACUCAUCAUCAAUCUACUCAUUAUAAACGCCCUCAUUCCAAUAACAGGAUUCUAUAAUGCCUGCAACUAAUUUCUCAGCUUCACCCUCCUGCUCACAACAUACAGCAGCUAUCUGAGACUUCUGAUACACCAAGUUUGAUACCAGUUUAUUCAUUGUAAUCAAAACAUUACAAAAUCAAUAAUAUUAUCAUUAUGUAUAAAAAUACAAUAUAGACAGAUCAAAUCCCGCUGUAAAGCGCGGGCAAAUCUUGCUAGUUAAUUACGAUGAAGGGGUUUAGGGUUUACCGGUUUAGGAACCGUGCAUUUCAAGAUGAGAUAAUUGCAGACUUUGACCGAUCAGAGAUGGACUUGACCCGUGGGAGGUCGUGA
This 652-nucleotide long non-coding RNA is filed under the name Rosa chinensis. RNAcentral describes it as "sRNA RchiOBHm_Chr6g0302971". Lineage: Eukaryota; Viridiplantae; Streptophyta; Magnoliopsida; Rosales; Rosaceae. The record is from RNAcentral.